UAAAGCAAAGAAGAGCGCAGAGUGAAUGCCUUGGCAUUGAGAGCCGAAGAAGGACGUGGUUAACUGCGAUAAGCAGCGGGGAGUUGUAAGCAAGCAUUGAUCCGCUGAUUUCCGAAUGGAGCAAUCCGCAUGAAGUAGUUCAUGCAUCCAUAUGUGAAUCAAUAGCAUAUGGAGGGGAACCGCCUGAACUGAAACAUCUAAGUAGGGCGAGGAAGAGAAAUCAACCGAGAUUCCGUAAGUAGUGGCGAGCGAAAGCGGAAGAGGCCAAACCGCAUGCAGCAAUGUGUGCGGGGUUGCGGACUGCAUAAGGUAUGUUGAAGUCUAGCUGAACUGUAUGGGAAGGCAGACCGGAGAGCGUGAGAGUCGCGUAAGCGAAAGACAGAGACAGCCGGCAGGAUCCAGAGUACCGCGGGACACGUGAAACCCCGUGGGAAGCCGGGGGGACCACCCUCCAAGCCUAAAUACUCCCCAGUGACCGAUAGAGAAUAGUACUGUGAAGGAAAGGUGAAAAGCACCCCGGGAGGGGAGUGAAAUAGCACCUGAAACCCUGAGCCUACAAGCACAUAGAGCACGUCAAAGUGUGAUAUGGUACCUUUUGUAGAAUGGUCCGGCGAGCGUAUGUAUGCAGCAAGGUUAAGCGCUUAAGGCGUGGAGCCGAAGGGAAACCGAGUCUGAAUAGGGCGUGAAGUUGCAUGCAUAGGGCCCGAAACCGGGUGACCUAUCCAUGUCCAGGUUGAAGUGGGAGUAAAAUCCCAUGGAGGACCGAACCGACCUCCGUUGAAAAGGCGGCGGAUGAGGUGUGGAUAGCGGAGAAAUUCCAAUCGAACCCGGAGAUAGCUGGUUCUCCUCGAAAUAGCUUUAGGGCUAGCCUCGCAUUAGUUUACCGGAGGUAGAGCACUGAAUGGUCUAGGGGGCCUCACCGCCUACCGAAACCUAUCAAACUGCGAAUGCCGGAUAAAUGAUGUGCGGGAGUCAGGCCGCGAGAGAUAAGUUCCGCGGUCAAAAGGGGAACACCCCAGAUCGUCUGCUAAGGUCCCCAAGUACGCGUUAAGUGGGAAAGGAUGUUGGAUUGCACAGACAACCAGGAUGUUGGCUUAGAAGCAGCCACACAUUCAAAGAGUGCGUAAUAGCUCACUGGUCGAGUGAUCCAGCGCCGAAAAUGUAACGGGGCUAAAACGCGACACCGAAGCAGCGGGAUGCGUAAGCAUCGGUAGAGGAGCAUUGUGUGAGGAUAGAAGCCAGAGCGGGAGCACUGGUGGACUUCACAGAAGAGAGAAUGCCGGUAUGAGUAGCGAGACCCAUGCGAGAAACAUGGGCGUCGAAGGCCCAAGGUUUCCUGGGGAAGGUUCAUCCACCCAGGGUAAGUCGGGACCUAAGCCGAGGACUGAGGUCGUAGGCGAUGGACAGCAGGUAGAGAUUCCUGCACCACUUACACUUGUUUGACGAAGCAGUGACACAGAAGGAUAGGACGAGCGCGGUGAUGGUCAACCGCGUAGGCGGCACAAGGCUGGGGAGCAGUAAAGUACACUUCCCGGGAAGGCUGAGUGUUGACAGGACCGAAAAAGAGUAGGGAAGCGUCUGAGUUCACGCUGGCGAGAAAAGCUGCUAAGGAGAGUGUGAGUGCCCGUACCGGAAACCGACGCAGGUGGGCGAGGAGAGAAUCCUGAGACGGACGGGAGAACUCUUGUUAAGGAACUCGGCAAAAUGACCCCGUAACUUCGGGAGAAGGGGUGCCUCGAAAGAGGCCGCAGAGAAUAGUCACAAGCGACUGUUUAGCAAAAACACAGGUAUCUGCGAAAGCGAGAGCUGACGUAUAGGUGCUGACACCUGCCCGGUGCUGGAAGGUUAAGGGAACAUGUUAGAGCAAUCGAAGCAUCGAACCGAAGCCCCAGUAAACGGCGGCCGUAACUAUAACGGUCCUAAGGUAGCGAAAUUCCUUGUCGGGUAAGUUCCGACCCGCACGAAUGGUGUAACGACUUGUGAGCUGUCUCAACAGGGGGCCCGGUGAAAUUGAAGUAUGGGUGAAGAUGCCCAUUACCCGCGACUGGACGGAGAGACCCCGUAGAGCUUUACUGCAGCCUGAUAUUGAGUUUCGGUAACUGAUGCACAGGAUAGGUGGGAGUCUGAGAGACACGGGUUUCGGCUCGUGUGGAGACGCUGUUGGGAUACCACUCUUCGGUUACUGAAAUUCUAACAUAGCUCUGUGAAACCAGAGGAUGGACAGUGUCAGGUGGACAGUUUGACUGGGGCGGUCGCCUCCGAAAGAGUAACGGAGGCGCCCAAAGGUACCCUCAGAAUGGAUGGAAACCAUUCGAAGAGCGCAAAGGCAGAAGGGUGCCUGACUGCGAGAGUGACAACUCGAGCAGAGACGAAAGUCGGGCUUAGUGAUCCGGCGGUAUUGAGUGGAAAAGCCGUCGCUUAACGGAUAAAAGCUACCUCGGGGAUAACAGGCUGAUCUCCCCCAAGAGUCCACAUCGACGGGGAGGUUUGGCAC
RNAcentral lists this ribosomal RNA (2494 nucleotides) under human gut metagenome. RNAcentral's name for it is "bacterial LSU rRNA". It matches the Rfam family "Bacterial large subunit ribosomal RNA", at positions 1 to 2524 of the family's 2925-position model. The record is from RNAcentral.